UCCUUAGUGGCUUAGAUGGUAAAGAAUCUAUCUGCAAUGCAGGAGAUUCAGGUUCAAUCCCUGGGUCAGGAA
This 72-nucleotide transfer RNA is filed under the name Ovis aries (sheep). It matches the Rfam family "tRNA". Rfam says of the family: Transfer RNA (tRNA) molecules are approximately 80 nucleotides in length. Lineage: Eukaryota; Metazoa; Chordata; Mammalia; Artiodactyla; Bovidae. The record is from Rfam by way of RNAcentral.